CGGCGUGCUUAACACAUGCAAGUCGAACGGGGUUAGAGGAGGAGCAAUCCGAGCCUAACCUAGUGGCGGACGGGUGCGUAACGCGUGAACAAUCUGUCCUUGUGAGGGGGAUAACACUUAGAAAUAGGUGCUAAUACCGCGUAAGACCACGGCAUCGCAUGGUGCUGGGGUAAAAGGAGAAAUCCGCAGAAGGGUGAGUUCGCGUCUGAUUAGCUAGUUGGUGGGGUAACGGCCCACCAAGGCGACGAUCAGUAGCCGAUCUGAGAGGAUGACCGGCCACACUGGAACUGAGAAACGGUCCAGACUCCUACGGGAGGCAGCAGUGGGGAAUAUUGGGCAAUGGGCGAAAGCCUGACCCAGCAACGCCGCGUGAGGGAAGAAGGUUUUCGGAUCGUAAACCUCUGUCGCAGGGGACGAGUAGAUGACGGUACCCUGUGAGGAAGCUCCGGCUAACUACGUGCCAGCCGCCGC
RNAcentral lists this ribosomal RNA (471 nucleotides) under uncultured bacterium. RNAcentral describes it as "bacterial SSU rRNA". It matches the Rfam family "Bacterial small subunit ribosomal RNA", at positions 40 to 518 of the family's 1533-position model. The record is from RNAcentral.